CCUACGGGACGCAGCAGGGGGGAAUAUUGCACAAUGGGGGAAACCCUGAUGCAGCGACGCCGCGUGAGUGAAGAAGUAUUUCGGUAUGUAAAGCUCUAUCAGCAGGGAAGAAAAUGACGGUACCUGACUAAGAAGCCCCGGCUAACUACGUGCCAGCAGCCGCGGUAAUACGUAGGGGGCAAGCGUUAUCCGGAUUUACUGGGUGUAAAGGGAGCGUAGGCGGCAAGGUAAGCCAGAAGUGAAAGCCCGGUGCCCAACCCCGGGACUGCUCUUGGAACUGCGUGGCUGGAGUGC
RNAcentral lists this ribosomal RNA (294 nucleotides) under uncultured bacterium. RNAcentral describes it as "partial 16S ribosomal RNA". It matches the Rfam family "Bacterial small subunit ribosomal RNA", at positions 338 to 649 of the family's 1533-position model. The record is from RNAcentral.